Regulatory RNA element from Roseovarius sp., 217 nucleotides. The record is from Rfam. Lineage: Bacteria; Pseudomonadati; Pseudomonadota; Alphaproteobacteria; Rhodobacterales; Roseobacteraceae.
CAUCACUGACGCAUAUCCGGUCCCGGUGCAGUCUCUGCCCCGGGCGCAAGAAGGGAACGCAGUGCGGCACGGGCCAUUCGGUCACGGCCAAUUCUGCGACUGCCCCCGCAACUGUAAGCGGCGAGCAACGGCUGAUCGUGCCACUGGAGCAAUCCGGGAAGGCCAGCCCGCGCGAUGACCCGCAAGUCAGGAGACCUGCCGGAUACGCGCCCCUGGA